AUAGAGAACUAGAUGAUAGACCACCGUAUGCGAUGGACAUUAAUUCUAUCAUGUUGAAAUUUAAAAAGAAACUGGAGAAACUCUCGGGACACAAAAUCACCUUCCAAAGAAGAAAUACGUUGUUCAAUUGUAUCAGAAACGACAAAGAUAAGAUUAACCAAGCCUGUCUCCCUGGAGUAUACAAGAUACCUUUCCUUGAUAAUGACACCAAUACUAAUGAGAAGUAUAUUGGUUAUAUGACACGCUCUCUUAAAAGGAGGAUCCAAGAACACAAAAAAAGACCUGAAGAGUAACACUGCUAUUACAGUUCUAGCACAGCGGGUGCUUGUAUCCAACUUAAGAAGUUGAUUGGUCCAGUAGUAAACUCUUGCGGCAGGAGCACAAUCUGAAGAGAGAAGAAUUGCUGAAAUGGUGGU
Molecule: long non-coding RNA, 416 nt
Filed under: Androctonus crassicauda
Lineage: Eukaryota; Metazoa; Arthropoda; Arachnida; Scorpiones; Buthidae
Source: RNAcentral